This 115-nucleotide non-coding RNA is filed under the name bovine gut metagenome. RNAcentral's name for it is "FMN riboswitch (RFN element)". It matches the Rfam family "FMN riboswitch aptamer (RFN element)". From Rfam's summary of the family: The RFN element is a highly conserved domain that is found frequently in the 5'-untranslated regions of prokaryotic mRNAs that encode for flavin mononucleotide (FMN) biosynthesis and transport proteins. The record is from RNAcentral.
GUCUUCGAGGCGGGGCGUAAUUCCCCACCGGCGGUACAGCCCGCAAGCGGCAGUUAUGUCGCACGAAUCGGUGAAAUUCCGAUGCCGACGGUCACAGUCCGGAUGAGAGAAGAUG